Molecule: ribosomal RNA, 449 nt
Filed under: uncultured bacterium
Lineage: Bacteria
Description: bacterial SSU rRNA
Rfam family: Bacterial small subunit ribosomal RNA
Source: RNAcentral
AACAGACUCCUACGGGAGGCAGCAGUGGGGGAUAUUGGACAAUGGGGGGAACACUGAUCCAGCGACGCCGCGUGAGUGAAGAAGUAUCUCGGUAUGUAAAGCUCUAUCAGCAGGGAAGAAAGAAAUGACGGUACCUGAGUAAGAAGCCCCGGCUAACUACGUGCCAGCAGCCGCGGUAAUACGUAGGGGGCAAGCGUUAUCCGGAAUUACUGGGUGUAAAGGGAGCGUAGACGGUGAAGUAAGUCUGGAGUGAAAGGCGGGGGCCCAACCCCCGGUCUGCUCUGGAAACUAUUUGACUGGAGUGCAGGAGAGGUAUGCGGUAUGCCUAGUGUAGCUGUGAAAUGCGUAUAUAUUAGGAGGAACACCAGUGGCGAAGGCGGCUUACUGGACUGUAACUGACGUUGAGGCUCGAACGCGUGGGGAGCACACAGGAUUAGAUACCCCCGUAG